RNAcentral lists this ribosomal RNA (670 nucleotides) under Micromonospora sp. 248. RNAcentral's name for it is "bacterial SSU rRNA". It matches the Rfam family "Bacterial small subunit ribosomal RNA", at positions 66 to 755 of the family's 1533-position model. Lineage: Bacteria; Bacillati; Actinomycetota; Actinomycetes; Micromonosporales; Micromonosporaceae. The record is from RNAcentral.
GCGGAAGGCCCUUCGGGGUACUCGAGCGGCGAACGGGUGAGUAACACGUGAGCAACCUGCCCCAAGCUUUGGGAUAACCCUCGGAAACGGGGGCUAAUACCGAAUAGGACUUCUGGCCGCAUGGCUGGUGGUGGAAAGUUUUUCGGCUUGGGAUGGGCUCGCGGCCUAUCAGCUUGUUGGUGGGGUGAUGGCCUACCAAGGCGACGACGGGUAGCCGGCCUGAGAGGGCGACCGGCCACACUGGGACUGAGACACGGCCCAGACUCCUACGGGAGGCAGCAGUGGGGAAUAUUGCACAAUGGGCGGAAGCCUGAUGCAGCGACGCCGCGUGAGGGAUGACGGCCUUCGGGUUGUAAACCUCUUUCAGCAGGGACGAAGCGAGAGUGACGGUACCUGCAGAAGAAGCACCGGCCAACUACGUGCCAGCAGCCGCGGUAAGACGUAGGGUGCGAGCGUUGUCCGGAUUUAUUGGGCGUAAAGAGCUCGUAGGCGGCUUGUCGCGUCGACCGUGAAAACUUGGGGCUCAACCCCAAGCCUGCGGUCGAUACGGGCAGGCUAGAGUUCGGUAGGGGAGACUGGAAUUCCUGGUGUAGCGGUGAAAUGCGCAGAUAUCAGGAGGAACACCGGUGGCGAAGGCGGGUCUCUGGGCCGAUACUGACGCUGAGGAGCG